RNAcentral lists this ribosomal RNA (780 nucleotides) under Micromonospora sp. Its description in RNAcentral is "bacterial SSU rRNA". It matches the Rfam family "Bacterial small subunit ribosomal RNA", at positions 63 to 859 of the family's 1533-position model. Lineage: Bacteria; Bacillati; Actinomycetota; Actinomycetes; Micromonosporales; Micromonosporaceae. The record is from RNAcentral.
CGAGCGGAAGGCCCUUCGGGGUACUCGAGCGGCGAACGGGUGAGUAACACGUGAGCAACCUGCCCUAGGCUUUGGGAUAACCCCGGGAAACCGGGGCUAAUACCGGAUAGGACCUGGCGCCGCAUGGUGUUGGGUGGAAAGUUUUUCGGCCUGGGAUGGGCUCGCGGCCUAUCAGCUUGUUGGUGGGGUGAUGGCCUACCAAGGCGACGACGGGUAGCCGGCCUGAGAGGGCGACCGGCCACACUGGGACUGAGACACGGCCCAGACUCCUACGGGAGGCAGCAGUGGGGAAUAUUGCACAAUGGGCGGAAGCCUGAUGCAGCGACGCCGCGUGAGGGAUGACGGCCUUCGGGUUGUAAACCUCUUUCAGCAGGGACGAAGCGUAAGUGACGGUACCUGCAGAAGAAGCGCCGGCCAACUACGUGCCAGCAGCCGCGGUAAGACGUAGGGCGCGAGCGUUGUCCGGAUUUAUUGGGCGUAAAGAGCUCGUAGGCGGCUUGUCGCGUCGACUGUGAAAACCCGUGGCUCAACCGCGGGCCUGCAGUCGAUACGGGCAGGCUAGAGUUCGGUAGGGGAGACUGGAAUUCCUGGUGUAGCGGUGAAAUGCGCAGAUAUCAGGAGGAACACCGGUGGCGAAGGCGGGUCUCUGGGCCGAUACUGACGCUGAGGAGCGAAAGCGUGGGGAGCGAACAGGAUUAGAUACCCUGGUAGUCCACGCUGUAAACGUUGGGCGCUAGGUGUGGGGGGGCCUCUCCGGUUCCCUGUGCCGCAGCUAACGCA